CAGUAGCCGCGGUAAUACGUAGGGGGCAAGCGUUGUCCGGAAUCAUUGGGCGUAAAGGGCGUGUAGGUGGCCCGGUAAGUUCGCUGUGAAAGUCCAGGGCUCAACCCUGGAAUGCCGGUCGAAACUGUCGAGCUAGAGUACGGAAGAGGCGAGUGGAAUUCCUGGUGUAGCGGUGAAAUGCGCAGACAUCAGGAGGAACACCAAUGGCGAAGGCAGCUCACUGGGACAGUACUGACACUGAGACGCGAAAGCGUGGGGAGCAAACAGGAUUAGAGACCCCCGUAGUCCCUGUCUCUUAUAC
Molecule: ribosomal RNA, 301 nt
Filed under: uncultured bacterium
Lineage: Bacteria
Description: partial 16S ribosomal RNA
Rfam family: Bacterial small subunit ribosomal RNA
Source: RNAcentral